CAGGCUUAACACAUGCAAGUCGAGGGGCAGCAUGAACUUAGCUUGCUAAGUUUGAUGGCGACCGGCGCACGGGCGAGUAACACGUAUCCAACCUGCCGAUGACUCGGGGAUAGCCUUUCGAAAGAAAGAUUAAUACCCGAUGGCAUAGUUCUUCCGCAUGGUAGAACUAUUAAAGAAUUUCGGUCAUCGAUGGGGAUGCGUUCCAUUAGGUUAUUGGCGGGGUAACGGCCCACCAAGCCUUCGAUGGAUAGGGGUUCUGAGAGGAAGGUCCCCCACAUUGGAACUGAGACACGGUCCAAACUCCUACGGGAGGCAGCAGUGAGGAAUAUUGGUCAAUGGACGAGAGUCUGAACCAGCCAAGUAGCGUGAAGGAUGACUGCCCUAUGGGUUGUAAACUUCUUUUAUACGGGAAUAAAGUGAGGCACGUGUGCCUUUUUGUAUGUACCGUAUGAAUAAGGAUCGGCUAACUCCGUGCCAGCAGCCGCGGUAAUACGGAGGAUCCGAGCGUUAUCCGGAUUUAUUGGGUUUAAAGGGAGCGUAGGCGGACGCUUAAGUCAGUUGUGAAAGUUUGCGGCUCAACCGUAAAAUUGCAGUUGAUACUGGGUGUCUUGAGUACAGUAGAGGCAGGCGGAAUUCGUGGUGUAGCGGUGAAAUGCUUAGAUAUCACGAAGAACUCCGAUUGCGAAGGCAGCCUGCUGGACUGUAACUGACGCUGAUGCUCGAAAGUGUGGGUAUCAAACAGGAUUAGAUACCCUGGUAGUCCACACAGUAAACGAUGAAUACUCGCUGUUUGCGAUAUACAGUAAGCGGCCAAGCGAAAGCGUUAAGUAUUCCACCUGGGGAGUACGCCGGCAACGGUGAAACUCAAAGGAAUUGACGGGGGCCCGCACAAGCGGAGGAACAUGUGGUUUAAUUCGAUGAUACGCGAGGAACCUUACCCGGGCUUAAAUUGCAGAUGAAUUACGGUGAAAGCCGUAAGCCGCAAGGCAUCUGUGAAGGUGCUGCAUGGUUGUCGUCAGCUCGUGCCGUGAGGUGUCGGCUUAAGUGCCAUAACGAGCGCAACCCUUGUUGUCAGUUACUAACAGGUUCCGCUGAGGACUCUGACAAGACUGCCAUCGUAAGAUGUGAGGAAGGUGGGGAUGACGUCAAAUCAGCACGGCCCUUACACCCAGGGCUACACACGUGUUACAAUGGCCGGUACAGAGGGCCGCUACCAGGUGACUGGAUGCCAAUCUCAAAAGCCGGUCGUAGUUCGGAUUGGAGUCUGUAACCCGACUCCAUGAAGUUGGAUUCGCUAGUAAUCGCGCAUCAGCCAUGGCGCGGUGAAUACGUUCCCGGGCCUUGUACACACCGCCCGUCAAGCCACGGAAGCCGGGGGUGCCUGAAGUCCGUAACCGCGAGGAUCGGCCUAGGGCAAAACUGGUAACUGGGGCUAA
Molecule: ribosomal RNA, 1436 nt
Filed under: uncultured organism
Description: 16S ribosomal RNA
Rfam family: Bacterial small subunit ribosomal RNA
Source: RNAcentral